AACGUAGGAGACAAACGUUAUCCGGAGUUACUGGGCGUAAAGGGCGUGUAGGUGGUAUCGUAAGUCUGGCGUGAAAUUUCUCGGCUUAACCGAGGCAGGUCGUCGGAUACUGCGAGGCUAGAGGACGGUAGAGGCGUGUGGAAUUCCGGGUGUAGUGGUGAAAUCCGUAGAGAUCCGGAGGAACACCAGUGGCGAAGGCGACACGCUGGGCCGUACCUGACACUGAUGCGCGACAGCAUGGGGAUCAAACAGG
RNAcentral lists this ribosomal RNA (253 nucleotides) under uncultured bacterium. RNAcentral describes it as "partial 16S ribosomal RNA". It matches the Rfam family "Bacterial small subunit ribosomal RNA", at positions 524 to 776 of the family's 1533-position model. The record is from RNAcentral.